UGAAAAGCCUAAGAAGCUGGUGAUGUCCAGA
This 31-nucleotide non-coding RNA is filed under the name Mus musculus (house mouse). Lineage: Eukaryota; Metazoa; Chordata; Mammalia; Rodentia; Muridae. The record is from RNAcentral.